GAAACGCUGGCGGCGUGCUUACACAUGCAAGUCGAACGAUGAUGCCCAGCUUGCUGGGUGGAUUAGUGGCGAACGGGUGAGUAACACGUGAGUAACCUGCCCCUGACUCUGGGAUAAGCGUUGGAAACGACGUCUAAUACUGGAUAUGAUCACUGGCCGCAUGGUCUGGUGGUGGAAAGAUUUUUUGGUUGGGGAUGGACUCGCGGCCUAUCAGCUUGUUGGUGAGGUAAUGGCUCACCAAGGCGACGACGGGUAGCCGGCCUGAGAGGGUGACCGGCCACACUGGGACUGAGACACGGCCCAGACUCCUACGGGAGGCAGCAGUGGGGAAUAUUGCACAAUGGGCGAAAGCCUGAUGCAGCAACGCCGCGUGAGGGAUGACGGCCUUCGGGUUGUAAACCUCUUUUAGUAGGGAAGAAGCGAAAGUGACGGUACCUGCAGAAAAAGCACCGGCUAACUACGUGCCAGCAGCCGCGGUAAUACGUAGGGUGCAAGCGUUGUCCGGAAUUAUUGGGCGUAAAGAGCUCGUAGGCGGUUUGUCGCGUCUGCUGUGAAAUCCCGAGGCUCAACCUCGGGCUUGCAGUGGGUACGGGCAGACUACU
This 602-nucleotide ribosomal RNA is filed under the name Curtobacterium sp. EA_L_46. Its description in RNAcentral is "bacterial SSU rRNA". It matches the Rfam family "Bacterial small subunit ribosomal RNA", at positions 30 to 645 of the family's 1533-position model. The record is from RNAcentral. Lineage: Bacteria; Bacillati; Actinomycetota; Actinomycetes; Micrococcales; Microbacteriaceae.